UGACUCAAUCCUUGAUGAUUGAUGUAAUGAUAUCAAUUUUGCUUGCUUAAUGGCUACCUCUGUUUCCUCUACUAUGCUUAUUUUGUCCAAGACUUGUGAGAGUUGAGAAACUGAGAACUCUGGUUUAGUUUCAUUGUGCUGAUAUGGUGUAUUAGAACUGCUAUUUGGCUUUUCCGCUUUGGCAUAUGUAGGUUAAUUAUUCUGAAUUUUGGAUAAUCUGCUUCAACCUUCAAUGUUUCAUUGCUUCUUGCACCUUAUUCUUGUUGAGGUGAUACCGUAUUUAACCAUUUGUACUACUGUCCUGAGUCCUGUGGAAACAGUGGUGAUUCAACCAAGGAACCAAAGCUAUAAAGGUACAUUUUCUCUUACCAACUUAUUUUUGUAUUGCACUAUUGCCAACUUAAAAGUUGACAAUUUUAAUUAUACUAGCUUAACUGACUAUAUGAUUAUUUUUCCAUUGCAUUGCUGGCAUGCUGCUUGUUGAUGAUGAGCUUCUUCACUGAGCUGAAGGCCUAAGCCCUGGAAUUGGAGGUGCAAGUUGCUAUGUUCAGCCUUUGGCAUGUUGGCACCAUCAAACAAAAGGUCGCAACAGAAAAUGGAUGGAUUGGAUCCAUCAUGGAGAGAUGAUUUCCUGUUCAUCUUUUAAACGGACACAAAUUUCAUUUAAAGGUUGCUGUGGUUCGUCAAACUAAGUGUAAUCUGCUGCCGCUGUGCUCUACAAAGCUCAUUGUUUCAACGUUGUGUAUUUGACGGCUACUGACAAAAGGACCAGGGCAGAAAAAAAAUGGAGCCUACAUGAAGAAAUAUGCAAUAUAGUAGUAUAACUAUAAGACUUCUGUUAUUGCAUCCAUGUUUUUGUUAACUGAUCAUGCAAUCUUUAGCUCAUAACUUGUGGUAGAAAAAUUGAUUUCAUGUGUUUAAGAGUGUGAUGCGAGGCUGAAAACACUCUGUAUAAAUGGUUGAUACUAUAUUUUUUUAGCUGUACUGACGUUCCUAUUCAAACUUUCUACUACCACUGUC
Non-coding RNA from Oryza sativa Japonica Group (Japanese rice), 1020 nucleotides. Lineage: Eukaryota; Viridiplantae; Streptophyta; Magnoliopsida; Poales; Poaceae. The record is from RefSeq and is a predicted model, not a curated record.